AAUCAACGCUGGCGGCGUGCCUCAGACAUGCAAGUCGAACGCGAAAGUUCCCUUCGGGGGAUGAGUAGAGUGGCGCACGGGUGAGUAACACGUAGGUAAUCUACCUUCGGAUGGGAAUAACAACCGGAAACGGUUGCUAAUACCGCAUAAUGCAGCGGCACCUAAUGGUGACAGUUGUUAAAGGCGGGGGAUCGAAAGACCUCGCGUCUGAAGAGGAGCCUGCGGCGGAUUAGC
RNAcentral lists this ribosomal RNA (234 nucleotides) under uncultured bacterium. RNAcentral's name for it is "partial 16S ribosomal RNA". It matches the Rfam family "Bacterial small subunit ribosomal RNA", at positions 32 to 245 of the family's 1533-position model. The record is from RNAcentral.